GGGAGCAAACAGGAUUAGAUACCCUGGUAGUCCACGCCGUAAACGAUGUCUACUUGGAGGUUGUGCCCUUGAGGCGUGGCUUCCGGAGCUAACGCGUUAAGUAGACCGCCUGGGGAGUACGGCCGCAAGGUUAAAACUCAAAUGAAUUGACGGGGGCCCGCACAAGCGGUGGAGCAUGUGGUUUAAUUCGAUGCAACGCGAAGAACCUUACCUGGUCUUGACAUCCACAGAACUUUCCAGAGAUGGAUUGGUGCCUUCGGGAACUGUGAGACAGGUGCUGCAUGGCUGUCGUCAGCUCGUGUUGUGAAAUGUUGGGUUAAGUCCCGCAACGAGCGCAACCCUUAUCCUUUGUUGCCAGCGGUCCGGCCGGGAACUCAAAGGAGACUGCCAGUGAUAAACUGGAGGAAGGUGGGGAUGACGUCAAGUCAUCAUGGCCCUUACGACCAGGGCUACACACGUGCUACAAUGGCGCAUACAAAGAGAAGCGACCUCGCGAGAGCGAGAG
RNAcentral lists this ribosomal RNA (505 nucleotides) under Salmonella enterica. Its description in RNAcentral is "bacterial SSU rRNA". It matches the Rfam family "Bacterial small subunit ribosomal RNA", at positions 764 to 1269 of the family's 1533-position model. Lineage: Bacteria; Pseudomonadati; Pseudomonadota; Gammaproteobacteria; Enterobacterales; Enterobacteriaceae. The record is from RNAcentral.